This 287-nucleotide ribosomal RNA is filed under the name Monacha cartusiana. RNAcentral describes it as "partial 16S ribosomal RNA". The record is from RNAcentral. Lineage: Eukaryota; Metazoa; Mollusca; Gastropoda; Stylommatophora; Hygromiidae.
UCAGUUGGCUUAUAAUUGAAGUCUAGUAUGAAUGGGAGCUCGGGGAUAUUCUGUCCUUUAUUUACGAUUUAGAAAUUACUAAUUAAGUGAAAAUUCUUAAACCUUUAGAAAAAAGACGAGAAGACCCUAGAAAUUUUUUAUUAUAUAUUUUGUUGGGGCGACAAGGUAACAUAAAACUUACCUAUACAAUAGGAAAUUUUUUAGUUGGGUAAAUAAAUUACUCUAGGGAUAACAGCAUAAUAUUUUAAAGUUUGUGACCUCGAUGUUGGACUAGGAAAUACCCUACU